This 556-nucleotide ribosomal RNA is filed under the name Salmonella enterica. RNAcentral's name for it is "partial 23S ribosomal RNA". It matches the Rfam family "Bacterial large subunit ribosomal RNA", at positions 2179 to 2734 of the family's 2925-position model. The record is from RNAcentral. Lineage: Bacteria; Pseudomonadati; Pseudomonadota; Gammaproteobacteria; Enterobacterales; Enterobacteriaceae.
CAUGGAGCCGACCUUGAAAUACCACCCUUUAAUGUUUGAUGUUCUAACGUGGACCCGUAAUCCGGGUUGCGGACAGUGUCUGGUGGGUAGUUUGACUGGGGCGGUCUCCUCCUAAAGAGUAACGGAGGAGCACGAAGGUUGGCUAAUCCUGGUCGGACAUCAGGAGGUUAGUGCAAUGGCAUAAGCCAGCUUGACUGCGAGCGUGACGGCGCGAGCAGGUGCGAAAGCAGGUCAUAGUGAUCCGGUGGUUCUGAAUGGAAGGGCCAUCGCUCAACGGAUAAAAGGUACUCCGGGGAUAACAGGCUGAUACCGCCCAAGAGUUCAUAUCGACGGCGGUGUUUGGCACCUCGAUGUCGGCUCAUCACAUCCUGGGGCUGAAGUAGGUCCCAAGGGUAUGGCUGUUCGCCAUUUAAAGUGGUACGCGAGCUGGGUUUAGAACGUCGUGAGACAGUUCGGUCCCUAUCUGCCGUGGGCGCUGGAGAACUGAGGGGGGCUGCUCCUAGUACGAGAGGACCGGAGUGGACGCAUCACUGGUGUUCGGGUUGUCAUGCCAAUG